GACGAACGCUGGCGGCGUGCUUAACACAUGCAAGUCGAACGGAAAGGCCCUGCUUGCAGGGUGCUCGAGUGGCGAACGGGUGAGUAACACGUGGGUGAUCUGCCCCUUACUUUGGGAUAAGCCUGGGAAACUGGGUCUAAUACUGGAUAGGACCAUGCUGUAGGUGGUGUGGUGGAAAGAUUAGUUUCGGUAAGGGAUGAGCUCGCGGCCUAUCAGCUUGUUGGUGGGGUAAUGGCCUACCAAGGCGUCGACGGGUAGCCGGCCUGAGAGGGUGGACGGCCACAUUGGGACUGAGAUACGGCCCAGACUCCUACGGGAGGCAGCAGUGGGGAAUAUUGCACAAUGGGCGCAAGCCUGAUGCAGCGACCCCGCGUGGGGGAUGACGGCCUUCAGGUUGUAAACUCCUUUCAGCCAUGACGAAGCCCUUGUGGUGACGGUAGUGGUAGAAGAAGCACCGGCUAACUUCGUGCCAGCAGCCGCGGUUAAUACUUACGGUGCGAGCGUUGUCCGGAAAUACUGGGCAUAAAGAGCUCCCAAGGGGUCCGUCGCGCCAUUUGUGAUAACCCGGGGCCUUACUCCGGUCUGGUCUGUGAUACGGGCAUGACUGGAGUACUUUAGGGGAGACUGGAAUUCCUGGUGUAGCGGUGAAAUGCGCAGAUAUCAGGAGGAACACCGGUGGCGAAGGCGGGUCUCUGGGCAGUAACUGACGCUGAGGAGCGAAAGCAUGGGUAGCGAACAGGAUUAGAUACCCUGGUAGUCCAUGCCGUAAACGGUGGGCGCUAGGUGUGGGUUUCCUUCCACGGGAUCCGUGCCGUAGCUAACGCAUUAAGCGCCCCGCCUGGGGAGUACGGCCGCAAGGCUAAAACUCAAAGGAAUUGACGGGGGCCCGCACAAGCGGCGGAGCAUGUGGAUUAAUUCGAUGCAACGCGAAGAACCUUACCUGGGCUUGACAUGCACUGGAUGCGGCCAGAGAUGGUUGUUCCCUUUGUGGCUGGUGUGCCGGUGGUGCAUGGUUGUCCUCAGCUCGUGUCGUGAGAUGUUGGGUUAAGUCCCGCAACGAGCGCAACCCUUGUCUCGUGUUGCCAGCAUUUGGUUGGGGACUCGCGGGAGACUGCCGGGGUUAACUCGGNGGNNGGUGGGGAUGACGUCNNNUCNUCCUGCCCCUUAUGUCCNGGGCUUCNCNCCUGCUACAAUGGCUGGUNCNGNGNGUUGCGNUNCCGUGAGGUGGGGCUNNUCUCGUAAAGCCCGUCUCCGUUCGGNUUGGGGUCUGCCACUCGNCUCCCUGAAGUCGGNGUCGCUNGUNNUCGCNGAUCNGCNNUGCUGCGGCCAAAAAGUUCCCGGGCCU
This 1345-nucleotide ribosomal RNA is filed under the name uncultured bacterium. RNAcentral's name for it is "partial 16S ribosomal RNA". It matches the Rfam family "Bacterial small subunit ribosomal RNA", at positions 28 to 1381 of the family's 1533-position model. The record is from RNAcentral.